This 428-nucleotide unclassified non-coding RNA is filed under the name Hevea brasiliensis (rubber tree). The record is from RNAcentral. Lineage: Eukaryota; Viridiplantae; Streptophyta; Magnoliopsida; Malpighiales; Euphorbiaceae.
UGCCCUCAUCAGAUUCUUUCUUGAUUGCACUAUGCUCAAUGAUGAUGGUCCUUUAUCCUGACCUGUCCUGUGCAACCAACCUGCAGUGUCAACCAGAUAUAUGGUUCUCCCUUGAAAAUGGAAAUGAGCUCUAAUAGAAUCUCUGGUCAAACCAACCUCUGGACCCACCAGCACACGUUCUUCUUGUAACAAAGUAUUCAGCAAGGUUGACUUUCCAACAUUGGGCCGCCCUACAAUAGCUAACUGCAGUGGCAACUUAGACAACUCCUCAACCUCACCAUGGUUGUCAUCAUGGCUAUCACAAUUGCUAUUUGGUUGAUUACAAUUACUGUUCAGGACUUUGAGCAUAUAAUCCUCAAGCAAAGGCCGAAGAGAAUCAUAAAGUGCUGUCAUACCCAGCCCUGUCUCAGCAGAUAUGGCAAUAGGAU